UGACCCCUGCAGUGUUCGUAUAGAAAGCGUACGUUUGAAAGAACCGAUACCCGUGCUCAGGGAAAUCGGGCCUUGUUGGAUCGGAAAUGCCUACACGAUAGGACUUUCGGACAGAAGCGACGAUUACCCACUUGGCAGUAAAGGGUUCUUUUCAAAAUCCUUUCUUACGGCACAGGUGGAGGUGAG
RNAcentral lists this non-coding RNA (186 nucleotides) under Phycisphaerales bacterium. RNAcentral's name for it is "6S RNA". It matches the Rfam family "6S / SsrS RNA". Rfam says of the family: E. coli 6S RNA was the first non coding RNA to be sequenced, but its function was unknown until recently. It consists of 184 nucleotides that fold into an extended hairpin structure with a large single-stranded internal bulge. The record is from RNAcentral. Lineage: Bacteria; Pseudomonadati; Planctomycetota; Phycisphaerae; Phycisphaerales.